This 346-nucleotide unclassified non-coding RNA is filed under the name soil metagenome. RNAcentral describes it as "partial contains 5.8S ribosomal RNA, internal transcribed spacer 2, and large subunit ribosomal RNA". The stretch from base 1 to 120 matches the Rfam family "5.8S ribosomal RNA", at positions 35 to 154 of the family's 154-position model. The record is from RNAcentral.
GAUGAAGAACGCAGCGAAAUGCGAUAAGUAGUGUGAAUUGCAGAAUUCAGUGAAUCAUCGAAUCUUUGAACGCACAUUGCGCCCGCCAGUAUUCUGGCGGGCAUGCCUGUUCGAGCGUCAUUUCAACCCUCAAGCCCUCGGGUUUGGUGUUGGGGAUCGGCGAGCCUUUCUGGCAAGCCGGCCCCGAAAUCUAGUGGCGGUCUCGCUGCAGCCUCCAUUGCGUAGUAGUAAAACCCUCGCAACUGGAACGCGGCGCGGCCAAGCCGUUAAACCCCCAACUUCUGAAUGUUGACCUCGGAUCAGGUAGGAAUACCCGCUGAACUUAAGCAUAUCAAUAAGCGGUGGA